ACCUAUGGCGAGUUAUAGGUAUCACCCUUUCCUUCUGCUCUGCUCCGAACCGUACCUUUUCUUCUUCUCUUCUUCGCGUUGUGUGAGCUGGUUCAAUGCGUGAGUGAAGCUUAGAGUGGAGAUUGUGAUUUUCUGCAGACUGACUGAGAUUGGAGAGUUGUGGAAAAUAGAAGAGUUGCGAAGAGAAAACGAAAAAUGAAUAGUGAAGUAUGAAUAUCUGGAAAUAAUGAGUAUGUGCUUGAAUUAAAGUUUGAAUGCUUGCUAAUUGAUGAAUAUGCCAUGAUCUCAAAAUGUGAUUUUCUUGACUUUGUAGGUAAUUCUAUGGAAGAUAAAAACUUGGUCUUCUUGAAGCUUGGAAUGGAUAGGCUUGCUAUGACAUGCUUGGAAUGCUAUGUUUAACUUUAGCAUUAGUAGGAAUUAUAAUUUUUGUAAUGUGAACUCUAUUGUAAUGUAAAGGAUUGGUUUAAAAUUGAAGAUAUGGAUUGGCUUGUAAUUUAUUUUGGAACAUUUUGA
This 513-nucleotide long non-coding RNA is filed under the name Lathyrus oleraceus (garden pea). RNAcentral's name for it is "Pisum sativum (pea) long non-coding RNA (PSAT_LNC033613)". The record is from RNAcentral. Lineage: Eukaryota; Viridiplantae; Streptophyta; Magnoliopsida; Fabales; Fabaceae.